Molecule: long non-coding RNA, 1302 nt
Organism: Esox lucius (northern pike)
Lineage: Eukaryota; Metazoa; Chordata; Actinopteri; Esociformes; Esocidae
Source: Ensembl
GUGGUAUUAGUUGGAGUGGUACAUAUUAAUUAAUACAUGAAUGAAUUUAACUGGUUGUUUUCUUUCAGAGGGCAGGCAACAAUGACAGUUAACAAGUCAUAUCUCUGGGAUCGAUUUUAGAUAGGCCUCCUCCUGUUGAGUUUGAACGGCCUCCCCGUGAUGAGUUGGAACGUCUGCCUCCUUUUGAGUUAGAGCGUCCGCCUCCUGUUCUGAUGCCUCCCACAUCUCACCUAAGGUCAGUGGGGGGGAAAAUAUAUGAAUGCGAGCAAGCACACACACAUGGACCAAACAGAGAAUCACACCAGCCGUUGUGGGAGGGCUAUAGGAAAGCAGACCACUUACAAACAAUGACCACAGCGCCCCUGUUCUCUUUCUUAACUCAGCCAGGUUGGAGUGAAGUUGUAUGGGGAGUCAUAUCUGAGGGACAGUCAUCUGGAGCUGCGAUGUCAUUAGGACAAGGACAGGUUACCAAGUUAGAGGGAAGACAGUUGUAUGGGGAGUCAUAUCUGAGGGACACUCAUCUGGAGCUGCGAUGUCAUUAGGACAAGGACUGGUUGCCAGGUUAGAGGGAAGCAAGCAGAACUGAAAGGAGUUGUCUUCCGAACGACUAGACAGCCUCUCAGAGAGGAUCAAUGGUGAGUGAUUAAAACCAGAUUGGUUGCCAGGUUGGAGACAAUGUGCCAGAGCAGGAGGGGCAGAGAGAGAGAAGCACAGUGGUGUCAUUAUGUUUAAUGAACGAUGAGAUGCCUCAGGGUGUCUCUUAAAGAGAACAGGGGACUCUGACUGCUCAGUGUGCAGACCAAAGACAGCAGAGUGCAGGCUAGAAAGAGCGUCCGCCUGACUUAGGGGUCAUUACUGUUUAUGUGUGUUAUUUUUAUGCUACACUGGUGCGAUGAGGUUUACUGGUGGUCGUGUUCUAGGCCAGUUUACAGGUCUGUGAUAAUGUAAGUGUGUAUGAGUGAGAGCUGUGUAUGUCCCAAGGCCUUUUGUUUCCCAUGAGUUUGUUUCAAAUUAAUCUCCAUUUGAAUUUAUUUAGCUGCUCCACAAUAUUGUCAUCUCAUCUGUAUGUGUGUGUGUGUGUGUGUGUGCUCAUGCUUGUGUAGUGUAUCUCUGUGAAUGUGAGGCCUGCACUAAGCUUGCUGAGCUCUGAAGUGACAUGUUGGGAACCUCUGACACCAGGCUAUGGCCCCUAUCAAGGUUUCCAUCCAGUUUCUUUUUGUUUGGGGGGUGGGCUGAAGUUAAUACUCAAAACAGGUGUGCCAAAUGGAUCUGCAACCCCACAGCCAUACCAUGAAGAUGAAG